UGGGGGAUAUUGCACAAUGGGCGAAAGCCUGAUGCAGCGACGCCGCGUGGGGGAUGAAGGCUUUCGGGUUGUAAACCUCUUUCGCUAUCGAACAAGGCCCGCUUAGGGUGGGUUGAGGGUAGGUGGAGAAGAAGCGCCGGCUAACUACGUGCCAGCAGCCGCGGUAAUACGUAGGGCGCGAGCGUUGUCCGGAAUUAUUGGGCGUAAAGGGCUUGUAGGCGGCUUGGUGCGCCUGCUGUGAAAACGCGGGGCUUAACUUCGCGCGUGCAGUGGGUACGGGCAGGCUUGAGUGUGGUAGGGGUGACUGGAAUUCCAGGUGUAGCGGUAGAAUGCGCAGAUAUCUGGAGGAACACCGAUGGCGAAGGCAGGUCACUGGGCCAUUACUGACGCUGAGGAGCGAAAGCAUGGGUAGCGAACAGG
Molecule: ribosomal RNA, 420 nt
Filed under: bacterium
Lineage: Bacteria
Description: partial 16S ribosomal RNA
Rfam family: Bacterial small subunit ribosomal RNA
Source: RNAcentral